RNAcentral lists this ribosomal RNA (460 nucleotides) under uncultured bacterium. RNAcentral's name for it is "partial 16S ribosomal RNA". It matches the Rfam family "Bacterial small subunit ribosomal RNA", at positions 338 to 795 of the family's 1533-position model. The record is from RNAcentral.
CCUACGGGAGGCAGCAGUGAGGAAUAUUGGUCAAUGGACGAGAGUCUGAACCAGCCAAGUAGCGUGAAGGAUGACUGCCCUAUGGGUUGUAAACUUCUUUUAUAUGGGAAUAAAACGUUCCACGUGUGGGAUUUUGUAUGUACCAUAUGAAUAAGGAUCGGCUAACUCCGUGCCAGCAGCCGCGGUAAUACGGAGGAUCCGAGCGUUAUCCGGAUUUAUUGGGUUUAAAGGGAGCGUAGGGGGAUUGUUAAGUCAGUUGUGAAAGUUUGCGGCUCAACCGUAAAAUUGCAGUUGAAACUGGCAGUCUUGAGUACAGUAGAGGUGGGCGGAAUUCGUGGUGUAGCGGUGAAAUGCUUAGAUAUCACGAAGAACUCCGAUUGCGAAGGCAGUUCACUGGACUGCAACUGACACUGAGGCUCGAAAGUGUGGGUAUCAAACAGGAUUAGAUACCCUUGUAGUC